This 254-nucleotide ribosomal RNA is filed under the name uncultured bacterium. RNAcentral's name for it is "partial 16S ribosomal RNA". It matches the Rfam family "Bacterial small subunit ribosomal RNA", at positions 524 to 776 of the family's 1533-position model. The record is from RNAcentral.
UACGAAGGGGGCAAGCGUUGUUCGGAAUUACUGGGCGUAAAGGGCGCGCAGGCGGCCGAUCAAGUCAGAUGUGAAAGCCCCGGGCUCAACCUGGGAAUAGCAUUUGGGACUGGUCGGCUAGAGUUCGGGAGAGGAGAGUGGAAUUCCCAGUGUAGAGGUGAAAUUCGUAGAUAUUGGGAAGAACACCGGUGGCGAAGGCGGCUCUCUGGACCGGCAUUGACGCUGAGUGAGCGAAAGCCAGGGGAGCAAACGGG